RNAcentral lists this long non-coding RNA (202 nucleotides) under Elaeis guineensis (African oil palm). RNAcentral describes it as "long non-coding RNA (EGUI_LNC066141)". Lineage: Eukaryota; Viridiplantae; Streptophyta; Magnoliopsida; Arecales; Arecaceae. The record is from RNAcentral.
UAGGAUAACUAGAUUACCCUAUAGGUUCAAAAAUAGCCAUGCAGUCGUCUGGCCUCUACCGAUAUCCACUCGAGCAAAAUCUGGAUCAUCUUCUCCUUGUGAAUCUCUACUCUAAAAAUUAGAUCUAGAUCUGAUUUAAAAGAUCUUCAAAAGAUCUUCUAAAGCUGGAGUAGUAGCUUCUCGAUAAAUUCCUGCAGCCUUC